UGGAGACAGGUGGUGCAUGGUUGUCGUCAGCUCGUGUCGUGAGAUGUUGGGUUAAGUCCCGCAACGAGCGCAACCCUUAUUCUUAGUAGCCAGCAAGUAAAGCUGGGCACUCUGGGGAGACUGCCGGGGAUAACCCGGAGGAAGGCGGGGAUGACGUCAAAUCAUCAUGCCCCUUAUGAUUUGGGCUACACACGUGCUACAAUGGCGUAAACAAAGGGAAGCAAAAGAGUGAUGUGGAGCAAAUCCCAAAAAUAACGUCUCAGUUCGGAUUGUAGGCUGCAACUCGACUACAUGAAGCUGGAAUCGCUAGUAAUCGCGAAUCAGAAUGUCGCGGUGAAUACGUUCCCGGGUCUUGUACACACCGA
This 365-nucleotide ribosomal RNA is filed under the name uncultured bacterium. Its description in RNAcentral is "bacterial SSU rRNA". It matches the Rfam family "Bacterial small subunit ribosomal RNA", at positions 1029 to 1393 of the family's 1533-position model. The record is from RNAcentral.